RNAcentral lists this ribosomal RNA (408 nucleotides) under Lautropia mirabilis. Its description in RNAcentral is "bacterial SSU rRNA". It matches the Rfam family "Bacterial small subunit ribosomal RNA", at positions 29 to 431 of the family's 1533-position model. Lineage: Bacteria; Pseudomonadati; Pseudomonadota; Betaproteobacteria; Burkholderiales; Burkholderiaceae. The record is from RNAcentral.
AUUGAACGCUGGCGGCAUGCUUUACACAUGCAAGUCGAACGGCAGCGCGGGCUUCGGCCUGGCGGCGAGUGGCGAACGGGUGAGUAAUACAUCGGAACGUGCCCAGUAGUGGGGGAUAGCUCGGCGAAAGCCGGAUUAAUACCGCAUACGACCUGAGGGUGAAAGCGGGGGAUCUUCGGACCUCGCGCUAUUGGAGCGGCCGAUGGCAGAUUAGCUAGUUGGUGGGGUAAAGGCCUACCAAGGCGACGAUCUGUAGCUGGUCUGAGAGGACGACCAGCCACACUGGGACUGAGACACGGCCCAGACUCCUACGGGAGGCAGCAGUGGGGAAUUUUGGACAAUGGGCGAAAGCCUGAUCCAGCAAAUGCCCGCGUGUGUGAUGAAAGGCCCUUUCGGGGUUGUAAAAGC